UACGAGUGCCCCAAGCGUUAUCCGGAAUCACUGGGCGUAAAGCGUGUGUAGGUGGAUGUGUUAGUCUCUCGUUAAAUUCUUCGGCUUAACCGGGGGCAUGCGAGGGAAACGGCACAACUAGAGGAUGCAAGGGGUCUGCGGAACUCAUGGAGUAGGGGUGAAAUCCGUUGAUAUCAUGGGGAACACCAAAAGCGAAGGCAGCAGACUGGUGCAUUCCUGACACUGAAACACGAAAGCGUGGGUAGCGAAUGGG
Molecule: ribosomal RNA, 253 nt
Filed under: uncultured bacterium
Lineage: Bacteria
Description: partial 16S ribosomal RNA
Rfam family: Bacterial small subunit ribosomal RNA
Source: RNAcentral